This 1356-nucleotide long non-coding RNA is filed under the name Anser brachyrhynchus (Pink-footed goose). Its description in RNAcentral is "lncRNA (ENSABRG00000013398.1)". Lineage: Eukaryota; Metazoa; Chordata; Aves; Anseriformes; Anatidae. The record is from RNAcentral.
GGAGAACUGACAGCAUACCCUGAAGAUCAGCAUAUGGUUGUGCAGACAGUACUGACAGUGCUGCCUAAGUCAGGAGCUGUGAUGAUACUUCCAUUAUGCAAACUGGGAGUGUUUCUGAAGUGAGUUGAUUCAGUGAUGAAAAUAAAAUAAACCUUUGGAAUACUAGACGAAGUAGAAUAUAAAAUUACAGCAGUGUACUGUUCUCUUUUUCUGGGUUUCAAUGUGAAGGCCUUGAGCGCUUCUUCUCCCUCCAAGAGGUGUAGCUGCUGGGCCUUGGGGCCAGCUUAGCAGCAGCAUGGCAAUUUCCUGCCCAUGGGGACUGAUUUUGACUGAGGGACACAUGCUUGGCCCCUGCUAGGCCAACAGCCCUUUCAUGAUGCAGCCUGUCCUGUUUUCAGCCACAGCACACCACCUGGGCCCACAGCCCGGCCUAGCCAUCCUGGGGCUGUGUCUGACCCUCAUAUCCCUCACCGGGCGUGAUCCAGGCUCCCACUCAUGGACCAGCAUCCCAGUCCAACUUGGCCCAUCACUGUCCCCAGGGAGGUGCCUAAAGCCUGGACUUGGGAUGGUGCAAUGGGCCCUUGUUGCCAGACCCUGCCCUGCUGCCCUGGGGCAGCCACCACAGCAUCAAGCUCCCAGCCCAAGGGAGACCCCAGACCACAGCAUGUGUGGAGAAGGGUUUAGGGUUUCCUUUCAAAGCAGAAGCUCAGAAGCUGUCAUCCUUUCUUCAGCAGGCCAGUUUACACAAUCAGGAUUUCAACUGAGAGUGCAUGAUAGAACCCUUGGUAAGCGUUUGGAACUUUUUCCAACUCUUUGCUUUUUAGUACUGAGUAUGAGAUGUCCUUACUGCUUUUUGGAAGCCACAUCUGAAAUACUCCAAAGUUUGAGCACAUUGGAUUUUCCUAUCUGUUUCUUUGUCAAACGCUUACACUAUGCCACUGAACCUGAGUAUUACCUUUGACCCUAAUGUAUUAUUAUAGUGCUGUAGUCAACAAAUGGUGAUGUUGUGAAGCCUCAUGCUAGCAGAGAGAGUCACCAGUAGGUUUAAACUCUUUUGAAUACGGAUGUCUUUUCACCAACUAGAGACAUACAAUUGAGACCUUUUUUAAAUAGAAGUUUUCUCAGAGGUCACUGAUAUUUAUAUUUUAAGUGGAAACUCGGAGCAAUAUUAAAGUGUUCAAACUCUCAGAGCUGUAUGAGUGGUUUUAGUGUUCCUGCUGUGCAUGACAAAAAUGCUGACAGGGAACCCUCAGGCCACCUGCUAGGCAUAGUAGCAUUCACUAUGUGCCACAUUAAGGGCUGAAUGGCAAGGUUGACACUGAGUUGCUCAAUAAAAUAGAUCUUUCACAUCCUGCA